Molecule: ribosomal RNA, 430 nt
Filed under: uncultured delta proteobacterium
Lineage: Bacteria; Deltaproteobacteria
Description: partial 16S ribosomal RNA
Rfam family: Bacterial small subunit ribosomal RNA
Source: RNAcentral
UCAGGAAUAUUGCGCAAUGGAGGAAACUCUGACGCAGCGACGCCGCGUGGGUGAUGAAGGCCUUCGGGUCGUAAAGCCCUGUCGGAGGGGAAGAAAAGCCUACUGGCUAAUAUCCAGUGGGCCUUUGACGGUACCCUCAAAGGAAGCACCGGCUAACUCCGUGCCAGCAGCCGCGGUAAGACGGAGGGUGCGAGCGUUGUUCGGAUUGACUGGGCGUAAAGGGCGUGUAGGCGGUUGGUCAAGUCUGGUGUGAAAGCCCGGGGCUUAACUCCGGAAGUGCACUGGAAACUAGCCAGCUGGAGCGCGAGAGAGGAGGGUGGAAUUCCUGGUGUAGCGGUGAAAUGCGUAGAUAUCAGGAGGAACACCGGCGGCGAAGGCGGCCCUCUGGCUCGUUGCUGACGCUGAAACGCGAAAGCGUGGGGAGCAAACA